RNAcentral lists this ribosomal RNA (915 nucleotides) under uncultured Bacillota bacterium. RNAcentral's name for it is "bacterial SSU rRNA". It matches the Rfam family "Bacterial small subunit ribosomal RNA", at positions 21 to 891 of the family's 1533-position model. The record is from RNAcentral. Lineage: Bacteria; Bacillati; Bacillota.
GGCUCAGGAUGAACGCCGGCGGUGUGCCUAAUACAUGCCCUUCGUACGCACUGGCCCAACUGAUUGUUGGUGCUUGCACCUGAUUGACGUUGGAUCACCAGUGAGUGGCGGACGGGUGAGUAACACGUAGGUAACCUGCCCCGGAGCGGGGGAUAACAUUUGGAAACAGAUGCUAAUACCGCAUAACAACAAAAGCCACAUGGCUUUUGUUUGAAAGAUGGCUUUGGCUAUCACUCUGGGAUGGACCUGCGGUGCAUUAGCUAGUUGGUAAGGUAACGGCUUACCAAGGCGAUGAUGCAUAGCCGAGUUGAGAGACUGAUCGGCCACAAUGGAACUGAGACACGGUCCAUACUCCUACGGGAGGCAGCAGUAGGGAAUCUUCCACAAUGGGCGCAAGCCUGAUGGAGCAACACCGCGUGAGUGAAGAAGGGUUUCGGCUCGUAAAGCUCUGUUGUUGGAGAAGAACGUGCGUGAGAGUAACUGUUCACGCAGUGACGGUAUCCAACCAGAAAGUCACGGCUAACUACGUGCCAGCAGCCGCGGUAAUACGUAGGUGGCAAGCGUUAUCCGGAUUUAUUGGGCGUAAAGCGAGCGCAGGCGGUUGCUUAGGUCUGAUGUGAAAGCCUUCGGCUUAACCGAAGAAGUGCAUCGGAAACCGGGCGACUUGAGUGCAGAAGAGGACAGUGGAACUCCAUGUGUAGCGGUGGAAUGCGUAGAUAUAUGGAAGAACACCAGUGGCGAAGGCGGCUGUCUGGUCUGCAACUGACGCUGAGGCUCGAAAGCAUGGGUAGCGAACAGGAUUAGAUACCCUGGUAGUCCAUGCCGUAAACGAUGAGUGAUAGGUGUUGGAGGGUUUCCGCCCUUCAGUGCCGGAGCUAACGCAUUAAGCACUCCGCCUGGGGAGUACGACCGCAA